AAAUUGAAGAGUUUGAUCAUGGCUCAGAUUGAACGCUGGCGGCAGGCCUAACACAUGCAAGUCGAACGGUAACAGGAAGCAGCUUGCUGCUUUGCUGACGAGUGGCGGACGGGUGAGUAAUGUCUGGGAAACUGCCUGAUGGAGGGGGAUAACUACUGGAAACGGUGGCUAAUACCGCAUAACGUCGCAAGACCAAAGAGGGGGACCUUCGGGCCUCUUGCCAUCAGAUGUGCCCAGAUGGGAUUAGCUUGUUGGUGAGGUAACGGCUCACCAAGGCGACGAUCCCUAGCUGGUCUGAGAGGAUGACCAGCCACACUGGAACUGAGACACGGUCCAGACUCCUACGGGAGGCAGCAGUGGGGAAUAUUGCACAAUGGGCGCAAGCCUGAUGCAGCCAUGCCGCGUGUAUGAAGAAGGCCUUCGGGUUGUAAAGUACUUUCAGCGGGGAGGAAGGUGUUGUGGUUAAUAACCGCAGCAAUUGACGUUACCCGCAGAAGAAGCACCGGCUAACUCCGUGCCAGCAGCCGCGGUAAUACGGAGGGUGCAAGCGUUAAUCGGAAUUACUGGGCGUAAAGCGCACGCAGGCGGUCUGUCAAGUCGGAUGUGAAAUCCCCGGGCUCAACCUGGGAACUGCAUUCGAAACUGGCAGGCUUGAGUCUUGUAGAGGGGGGUAGAAUUCCAGGUGUAGCGGUGAAAUGCGUAGAGAUCUGGAGGAAUACCGGUGGCGAAGGCGGCCCCCUGGACAAAGACUGACGCUCAGGUGCGAAAGCGUGGGGAGCAAACAGGAUUAGAUACCCUGGUAGUCCACGCCGUAAACGAUGUCUACUUGGAGGUUGUGCCCUUGAGGCGUGGCUUCCGGAGCUAACGCGUUAAGUAGACCGCCUGGGGAGUACGGCCGCAAGGUUAAAACUCAAAUGAAUUGACGGGGGCCCGCACAAGCGGUGGAGCAUGUGGUUUAAUUCGAUGCAACGCGAAGAACCUUACCUGGUCUUGACAUCCACAGAACUUUCCAGAGAUGGAUUGGUGCCUUCGGGAACUGUGAGACAGGUGCUGCAUGGCUGUCGUCAGCUCGUGUUGUGAAAUGUUGGGUUAAGUCCCGCAACGAGCGCAACCCUUAUCCUUUGUUGCCAGCGGUCCGGCCGGGAACUCAAAGGAGACUGCCAGUGAUAAACUGGAGGAAGGUGGGGAUGACGUCAAGUCAUCAUGGCCCUUACGACCAGGGCUACACACGUGCUACAAUGGCGCAUACAAAGAGAAGCGACCUCGCGAGAGCAAGCGGACCUCAUAAAGUGCGUCGUAGUCCGGAUUGGAGUCUGCAACUCGACUCCAUGAAGUCGGAAUCGCUAGUAAUCGUGGAUCAGAAUGCCACGGUGAAUACGUUCCCGGGCCUUGUACACACCGCCCGUCACACCAUGGGAGUGGGUUGCAAAAGAAGUAGGUAGCUUAACCUUCGGGAGGGCGCUUACCACUUUGUGAUUCAUGACUGGGGUGAAGUCGUAACAAGGUAACCGUAGGGGAACCUGCGGUUGGAUCACCUCCUUACCUUAAAG
Molecule: ribosomal RNA, 1550 nt
Filed under: Salmonella enterica
Lineage: Bacteria; Pseudomonadati; Pseudomonadota; Gammaproteobacteria; Enterobacterales; Enterobacteriaceae
Description: bacterial SSU rRNA
Rfam family: Bacterial small subunit ribosomal RNA
Source: RNAcentral